Molecule: ribosomal RNA, 253 nt
Filed under: uncultured bacterium
Lineage: Bacteria
Description: partial 16S ribosomal RNA
Rfam family: Bacterial small subunit ribosomal RNA
Source: RNAcentral
GACGAACCGUGCAAACGUUAUUCGGAAUCACUGGGCGUAAAGGGCGCGUAGGCGGCUUUCUAAGUCAGGGGUGAAAUCCGGCAGCUCAACUGUCGCAGUGCCUUUGAUACUGGAGAGCUCGAGGGAGGUAGGGGUCUGUGGAACUUCCGGUGGAGCGGUGAAAUGCGUUGAUAUCGGAAGGAACGCCGGUGGCGAAAGCGACGGACUGGAUCUCUUCUGACGCUGAGGCGCGAAAGCCAGGGGAGCAAACGGG